GCCAUGGAGGCAGCCCGGGGGGCGCCCAGGGGGCAGGGGCGAUCCGCUGGCAUCCUGGCCCGGGGCAGGGGGCACCGGCUCGGGACGGGGCUGGCCCGGCAGCGGGGAGCCUGGGGACUGGUACGGGAGCGGCCGCCCUGAGCGAGAGCAGCGGAGUGAGUGGUUUGCACCGGGGGCUGCCCACUCCGGAGCGGCUCGUGCUGGGACCCAGCGAUCUCCAGGUCAUGGAGCCGAGGGGUCUGUCUGAGACACCUGCCAUCACCAUGGACGUCGAUCAGCCCUGACAGCAGGAUCGCUGACAUCUCUGCAGGGUGCCCUCGGCAUGGAGUUCCCAUGACGACGAUACGGCUUUCCAGGGAAACAGAUUCCUAGCUCCAAACCUGCAAGGUCCCAGCAUGCCUUGCAAGGUGGGGGGCAGGGAUAACUCACCCUGCUGCUGAAAUGCAGCCAUCUCUGGAGUGGAACGCACCAGAGAGGACGCUGCCGCAAACCCUGCUGCAUGGAUGCUCAACUCCCAGGAAGCAGCCAGGGCUGUAGGAAUGAGAGAGCAGCAUUUGUCACCGGUUCACAGCCGCAAACAAUUUUGUCUGGCUCCCCAGACCCCGCUUGCAGGAGCCGAGGGAGACCUGACGGAAGGCAGCUGGAGCCAGAGACAGUCAGGAAUGAAUGGAUGGGGUGGAGGUGCAAUAAAAGCCCUGACCACUGGGUGGUGCCCUCGUUCUGUACACAGGCCAGCCAGAGAUAAGGGCUUGCUGCAGGCCCUAGACAGCCUUCAGAGGGGAAGUUGCAAUACAAGCACUGGCCACUGGACGGCACCUGUGGUGUGCAAAGUUGAGCAGGGAAUUCACUGCUAGGAGAGGUGGGAUGAUUCCCCGCCCCAUGAUGCCCAUCCCCCACAGGGGAUCCCAGCCAGAUUCACCCUCAUCCUCCACACAGGGCAGCCA
Malaclemys terrapin pileata is the source of this 944-nucleotide long non-coding RNA. RefSeq lists it as uncharacterized. NCBI's taxonomy places the organism in Eukaryota, Metazoa, Chordata, Testudines, Emydidae. The transcript has 4 exons. The record is from RefSeq and is a predicted model, not a curated record.